UAGGGAAUCUUCCACAAUGGGCGAAAGCCUGAUGGAGCAACGCCGCGUGAGUGAUGAAGGCCUUCGGGUUUUAAAACUCUGUCAUUCGGGACGAACCGGAGUCUGAGGAAAUGCAGACUCUCUGACGGUACCGGAGGAGGAAGCCCCGGCUAACUACGUGCCAGCAGCCGCGGUAAUACGUAGGGGGCAAGCGUUGUCCGGAUUCACUGGGCGUAAAGCGCGCGCAGGCGGUGAUGUAAGUCUGAGGUGAAAACCCGAAGCUCAACUUCGGGACUGCCUUGGAUACUGCGUCACUUGAGGAUAGGAGAGGCAAGGGGAAUUCCACGUGUAGCGGUGAAAUGCGUAGAGAUGUGGAGGAACACCUGUGGCGAAGGCGCCUUGCUGGCCUAUUUCUGACGCUGAGGCGCGAAAGCGUGGGGAGCAAACAGG
RNAcentral lists this ribosomal RNA (429 nucleotides) under Actinomycetes bacterium. RNAcentral's name for it is "Actinobacteria bacterium partial 16S ribosomal RNA". It matches the Rfam family "Bacterial small subunit ribosomal RNA", at positions 355 to 776 of the family's 1533-position model. Lineage: Bacteria; Bacillati; Actinomycetota; Actinomycetes. The record is from RNAcentral.